Molecule: unclassified non-coding RNA, 1620 nt
Filed under: Trichogramma pretiosum
Lineage: Eukaryota; Metazoa; Arthropoda; Insecta; Hymenoptera; Trichogrammatidae
Description: uncharacterized LOC106651855, transcript variant X2
Source: RNAcentral
CGCAGAAUUAAUUUUAGUCGUUUCCGCUAUUCGCAGUUCGCAGUUUGCUCUACGCAAUCUGCGAUCUUUCAUUUUUACUGUUAUUCUGUUGAAACUGUAUAAAUUUUAUAAUAAGAUUCUCCACUUAUUCCAGUUGGUCCACGCACAAGUGUAAUAAUACCUUUUCUCCAAAUACGAUAAAUUAGAAAAGAAUUGAUUGCGAAAGAAAAAUCGUAAAAAUCGAUUUUACUCUUCAAUGCUAACAGUAUAAUUAAAUACAAGUGUACCUUUUUUAAUAAAAGUCGUUAUAAUCGACAAGUAAAAUGUCCGAUCCAGUUAUAAAUCCGGAAAUACCUUACGUUGGAGAGAUCCAUGGAGGCGUUGUUCCUGGUAAAAUGGUCAAAGUUCAAGGAAAAGUUCCUCAUGAAGCAACACGAUUUGCUGUUAACUACCAAUUAGGCCCAGGGUUGAAUCCUCGUGAUGACAUUGCUCUUCAUGUUUCACCUCGUUUUCCUCAGGGAAUCAUCACUAGAAAUAGUAUUGAGUCAAUGCAAUGGGGAGUUGAAGAAAAUAAUGGUCCCAUGUGGAUUCAUCCUGGUCAGCCUUUUGAAAUAAUUAUUCUUUGUGAAUAUUAUUGUUACAAAAUUGCUGUAAAUGGCAGACAUUUUGCGGAAUUUACUCACAGAUUGCCUUAUGAUAGAGUAACUCAUUUAGUUAUCGAUGGUGACGUUGAGAUAAAUUCUAUUUUUUACGAAACUAUUAAUGUUGGUCCAAGACCAACAGCUCCAGUACCUGAUCUUCCAACAGUUGAUGUUGGUCCACCACCACCUGGUGGUCUUUAUCCUACUCUCAAUCCUCAAGCAAAGUUUGAUCUACCUGAUAAAGAUUACGAUCCACCUCAUCCUCAUAGACAACCAGCUGCACAUCAAAAAUCAGAAGAUGCAUUUGGCAGUACAUUGGAUAAAGUUGGUUUAGCUGUUGGAGGGCUUGUUGCUGCAGGAGGUGUUGCAGCUGCAAUGCAUGCAAUUAAUAAACAAAAAAAGAAACAUGACGGAGAAGCAGAUCAUGCCAAAUCUACUUCCCCAGACUAUGAAAGCGGAUUGGGUGGACUAGGAGCAUUAGGAGCAGCUUUAGCUAGUAGUUUGGCAUCAAAUUCUCAUGCACAACAAGGCUACCCAUCUGAUUCUGGUAGUGGUGGAAUGAUAGGAUCAUUGCUUGGAGCAUUAGGUGGUGGUCAAGCUACAGCAAAACCUAAUUAUAGUCAACAAACAUCAAAUUCUGAUCCUUUCGGUGGAGCUCUAGGAUCCAUACUUGGUGGUGUUCUUGGGGGUGGAAGUCAUCAACAACAACCAACAUACCAACCAACUGGUGGCUAUCCUCAGAAUCAACCAUCACAAAGUGGUGGAGGUAAUGAUUUAUUUGGUGAUUUAAAAGGAGCUCUGCUUAAAUCAGCCAUGGAUGAUAUUACAAAACAUGUUAAAAAUUAAAGAAGACGAAGUCUGUUGGAAAUAUAAUUUUUAAAACUGUGCUACCAGAUUUUCAAAAGUCAAAGCUAUACCCUAACAAACCUCAACCAUCGGGAGCCGAAAAUCCUCAUCCGACGUAUCACGGAAAUAUGUCACCACCAUCACACGAUCCUCC